Cotesia glomerata is the source of this 415-nucleotide long non-coding RNA. RefSeq lists it as uncharacterized. Lineage: Eukaryota; Metazoa; Arthropoda; Insecta; Hymenoptera; Braconidae. The record is from RefSeq and is a predicted model, not a curated record. The transcript is spliced from 2 exons.
UUGUGUCAGUCACUUGAUAAAUGAGCUAAAAAAUGGAAGAGCCGUUGAAGUUCAACAAGUUAAUGAUUUCAUCAUCGGAGUUCCUAUUGGAAUUGAAUUCAUUGUCGGUGAACAUAUCACAGAUUGUGUGGUUUGUGAACAAAAUAUUACAAAUCAUAUUUGUUUACCAUGCAACCAUUGGUUUGGAUGUUCACAGUGCGUACAAAACAUGCGAGCCCUUCUUGCUCGAGUGAAUGCGAACCUAAGUUGUCCAACUUGUGCCAACGUUGUAGAAUCAUUUGAAAUGAUUUUUUAAGUUCUAAAUUAACAUUAAUUUUUAACGAUAUUCACAAAAUAAGUAUGUAAUGAAUGAUAAAUCAUCGUUAUAUUUUUUUAUGUGUGCUCCAGUCUGAUUUAAGUAUCUUAUAUUAUAAAA